UCUCUCUCCUCCUCCUCCUCCCAGCCCACCCCCACCCCUAAAUUUUAACCUUGCAGUUAUAAUAGAUUUUCUUCCUUGGAGAAGCCCACCGGGAUUUCACCCCGAGUUACCUUGGAUCUGUGGGCUCAGGAUGAUAGUUCCAGAGGAUCCCCUGAGCAGCCACAUAGAACUGCCUUACCCGCGCGGCCUCUGCCUGGUGGCUGCCCCAGCCCGCCCAGCGGGUGCCCAGAACCACCAGGAGGAAGAAGCGCGGGCAGACUGGGAGCAUGGCCCUUGUCCUGCCGCGCGCUGCCAACGCCGACAGUGUUCAGUGCUCUGUCCCUUUUGCGUGCUGUCCUGGCUCCCUGGAGGACUAAGAAGCUGCAGGGCACAAUCUUCUGUGACCCCCUAGUACCAUCUGGAGGUUUCUGUGAAAGUCCCAGCAGCAGAGGUGUAAACAACCUCAUGGAUAUGAAACAAGGAAGACCCAGGAGAUUUUAAAGCAGGCAUCCCCUUAAACUAGAGGUCUGCCUUCCACCAACAUUGCAACUCUUCAAUCCCAAGAGAAAGACCUUCGGUUUUCCAGAGCCUGGUCAACUGGCGAGGCAGAUGCUCCAGUGCCUUGGACUAAAUCCGAUUUUCAGCAACAACAAAGUAACAACAAGCCACAGACCAGAGCAGAAACAUUUGCUCCUGGUUCUGUGGCUGAGCUGGAGGAAGAGAGCCUCAGCAAAUGCCGUGGAGUUACAGUCAAGUGUGACAGGAAACUUGACAUCUGCAUGUGGAAUCCUGAGAAAUCAAAUGAUACAUCGGGAGACCUGGUCUCUGAAAAAGAAACAAACUAAUUAAAUGACUGGUUCCUUAAAAGAUAAAGAAAUCUCUCACUGUGCACACCCCCUGACGUCUGAGACAGUUGCCUCUUUCUGGGUUCUACAGUCUACCAGCAGGAAAGGGGGUUUUUCACUGUACUGUUUGAAAAGAUGCCUUCAGAUGGUUUCUGUUCGGGUAGUACAGGGGAUUUUGAGGCAAGCCCACACUGUCAACUUCACUUCGUUAGCAACAACGGGAUCUCACACAUCCUGGAACAGGCUAUGUGCUGCUAGACCUCACAUCUGGGCGGGAAUGGAAAUCCUGGGAUAAAUUCCAUUGCCCCCUCUCUGUUACAUGUACUUGUUGCCAAUACAAUUUUACCAUAGCUUAACAUUCUAGUACAUGCUUAAAAAUCAAUACAUAUGAUGUACAGAAAAUUCAAGACUGGUC
RNAcentral lists this long non-coding RNA (1239 nucleotides) under Mus pahari (shrew mouse). RNAcentral's name for it is "lncRNA (MGP_PahariEiJ_G0006089.1)". The record is from RNAcentral. Lineage: Eukaryota; Metazoa; Chordata; Mammalia; Rodentia; Muridae.